AUGAUCCACUCGGAUAGUUCUUCCUCUAAUCUUGAUCCCGUUAAAAUUGUCGACGGCCAAAAUCGUGCUUCUCUGAUCUUCGUAACAAAGGAAACAGAAUCCUUUGGACUUUCCGGUCUUCUUAUCUCGUACAAGAUUAAUAUUUACAAUUUCGCCGUAUUGAGAAAACACACAAAUGAUAUCUCCUUCAGUCAGUUCAUAGGGGAGUCCUCCCAGAAAGAUCCAAGCGCUGUCCUUGUAUUCGGCGUGCCAGGAUACCUUUUCGGCCACCCCGAGUUCCACCUCCCGCUCGUUCAAUUCAUUGAUAAGCUUCACCUUGAGGUGCUUAAUAAAUGCUUACCGGCUGUCCCAGAAUCCCCUUCACACCAUACCAUCUUAAGUGACCAUCUAGUCUCCCCUCAAAAACUGUCCAGAACAAUUUGACUCCCUUUGGGACAGCUCUCAUUGCUCAGAAGUCAAACCCUGGAUCAUCUGUCCCCAUCUGCAGACCCCAUAGGUGAGUUCCUCUAGUGCUGAGAGCCCCUAUUUUGUUCAGGGGUCAAUUUUCAUUCUCCUUCUGGCCUCACUUGCUUCUAACUUUGGGGAUUGGGUAACUUCUUAGCUCAACUUUCCCACUCCUUUCAAUGCCUUGUUUUUUCCUAUUAGAUUGUAAACUCCUUGAGGGCAGGAACUGUCACUUUCUGCUUCAUUUGCAUCCCCAGCAAAGGGAAAUCCGACCGCAUCCAGCAAACAAUAGGUUUUGUCUUCUCAAUCCCCAGCAAAUUUCUGAAUUCUCUUCUAAGUAAUUCAGUCCGGGACUCCUGAUGGAGACGGGAUGAUGGAGAAGGUGGGAGUGGAGCCCGAGUGACCCGAGUUCGGAUCCCACCCCAGGCACUUAAUAGCUGUGUGUUCCUGAGGGGGACGAGGCUUUGAGACUGUGCGGUUCUCGCCGUCCCAUUCUCGGAGCCCACCUAACUAUCAGUCAUUGCCUGAGCCCACGGCCGGGCUUCUGACCGUGACCCCACCCUUCCCUCACUCGGAAGUUCAUGACAACUGAGCCAAGAGGAAGUCUUUCAGUCAGCGUCUGGUGGGAGCUGAGAGUGGACUCGCCAGCUGAGCAGGAACCAAGUGGCCCCAGAACCCUCUCCGCCCGCCCCCUGGCUUCCCCGGGGACCGGGUUCCUCCAAACUAUAGAUUUCAGGCCCUGCCCGGGAGCUGAGGCAAACUUCGUGUGCGAUGGGAGCAGCCCAGAUCCCGAAACGCGCGCCCGAGGCCAGAAGCAGUGAGUGCCCCCCACCCCCCGUCCCCACCCCCACUCCUC
RNAcentral lists this long non-coding RNA (1300 nucleotides) under Sarcophilus harrisii (Tasmanian devil). Its description in RNAcentral is "lncRNA (ENSSHAG00000023358.1)". The record is from RNAcentral. Lineage: Eukaryota; Metazoa; Chordata; Mammalia; Dasyuromorphia; Dasyuridae.